RNAcentral lists this long non-coding RNA (532 nucleotides) under Homo sapiens (human). Its description in RNAcentral is "HSALNT0148319". The record is from RNAcentral. Lineage: Eukaryota; Metazoa; Chordata; Mammalia; Primates; Hominidae.
AAGUGAUCCGUCUGCCUUGGCCUCCAAAAGUGCUGGGAUUACAGGAGUGAGCCACCACACCCGGCCUUUUAACUUUACAUUUUGGAAUGAAUCAACUUUGGACAGAAUCCACCUGGAUGUUUCUUGCAUCACCCAGCCACUUGGUAUAUGAACGUUGUCAGAAUCAAAAUCGAGUCACUUGUGUGAAAACAAGAAGAAGAAAAAAACUCUGACAAAUAGUGCUGAGGAAGACCAUGAAGAGAAGAUUCUGAUACAUAAAUGCCUGAUAACAGAAACUGUCACAGAAGACUGCCAAACUGCAACCUUGGACAACGGCCCACAAUCGUAUACAAAAAAUACUUCUGCAAAGGACAUUUGCCCAACAACUGCCUGCCCAACCUCAAACUAGCAUGAUCCUUUUUAUUAAUCCUUGGAUUCAUAGCCAAGGAUAAUUAUCUCAAAACAAUUGUGCAAUUCUUAUCUUUCCUUUGAAAAUCUUUGUCCUCCUUUACUUUCCCGAAUACACACAUAGUUUACUAUGGUAUGUGAAUUC